This 393-nucleotide ribosomal RNA is filed under the name uncultured bacterium. RNAcentral's name for it is "partial 16S ribosomal RNA". It matches the Rfam family "Bacterial small subunit ribosomal RNA", at positions 355 to 739 of the family's 1533-position model. The record is from RNAcentral.
UGGGGAAUUUUGGACAAUGGGCGCAAGCCUGAUCCAGCCAUGCCGCGUGCGGGAAGAAGGCCUUCGGGUUGUAAACCGCUUUUGUCAGGGAAGAAAUCUUCUGAGUUAAUACCUCGGGAGGAUGACGGUACCUGAAGAAUAAGCACCGGCUAACUACGUGCCAGCAGCCGCGGUAAUACGUAGGGUGCAAGCGUUAAUCGGAAUUACUGGGCGUAAAGCGUGCGCAGGCGGUUUUGUAAGACAGAGGUGAAAUCCCCGGGCUCAACCUGGGAACUGCCUUUGUGACUGCAAGGCUUGAGUGCGGCAGAGGGGGGAUGGAAUUCCGCGUGUAGCAGUGAAAUGCGUAGAUAUGCGGAGGAACACCGAUGGCGAAGGCAAUCCCCUGGGCCUGCA